Regulatory RNA element from Clostridium baratii str. Sullivan, 108 nucleotides. It matches the Rfam family "TPP riboswitch aptamer (THI element)". Rfam says of the family: Vitamin B(1) in its active form thiamin pyrophosphate (TPP) is an essential coenzyme that is synthesised by coupling of pyrimidine and thiazole moieties in bacteria. The previously detected thiamin-regulatory element, thi box was extended, resulting in a new, highly conserved RNA secondary structure, the THI element, which is widely distributed in eubacteria and also occurs in some archaea. NCBI's taxonomy places the organism in Bacteria, Bacillati, Bacillota, Clostridia, Eubacteriales, Clostridiaceae. The record is from Rfam.
AAGAUGUGCUAGGGGUGCCAAAAAGAUUGGCUGAGAGAUGUAUUUAUUACAUUAACCCUUUAACCUGAUCUGGGUAAUACCAGCGUAGGAAAGCCGUGAGUAGUUUUU